This 439-nucleotide ribosomal RNA is filed under the name uncultured bacterium. RNAcentral's name for it is "partial 16S ribosomal RNA". It matches the Rfam family "Bacterial small subunit ribosomal RNA", at positions 339 to 795 of the family's 1533-position model. The record is from RNAcentral.
CUACGGGGCGCACCAGUGGGGAAUAUUGCGCAAUGGAGGCAACUCUGACGCAGCAAUGCCAUGUGUGUGAUGACGGUCCUAGGAUUGUAAAGCACUUUCAGUGGGAAAGAUAAUGACGGUACCCACAGAAGAAGUCCCGGCUAACUCCGUGCCAGCAGCCGCGGUAAUACGGAGGGGGCGAACGUUGUUCGGAUUUACUGGGCGUAAAGGGUUCGUAGGCGGAUAAGUAAGUCAGAUGUGAAAGCCCGGGGCUUAACCUCGGAAUUGCAUUUGAAACUGCUUAUCUAGAGUCUUGGAGAGGAUAGCGGAAUUACCAGUGUAGAGGUGGAAUUCGUAGAUAUUGGUAGGAACACCAGUGGCGAAGGCGGCUAUCUGGCCAAGUACUGACGCUGAGGAACGAAAGCGUGGGGAGCAAACAGGAUUAGAUACCCGUGUAGUC